ACGGAAGGCAGCAGUAGGGAAUCUUCGGCAAUGGGGGGAACCCUGACCGAGCAACGCCGCGUGAGUGAAGAAGGUUUUCGGAUCGUAAAGCUCUGUUGUCAGAGAAGAACGGGUGUGAGAGUGGAAAGUUCACACAGUGACGGUACCUGACGAGAAAGGGACGGCUAACUACGUGCCAGCAGCCGCGGUAAUACGUAGGUCCCGAGCGUUGUCCGGAUUUAUUGGGCGUAAAGCGAGCGCAGGCGGCUCUGUAAGUCUGAAGUAAAAGGCAGUGGCUUAACCAUUGUGUGCUUUGGAAACUGCGGGGCUUGAGUGCAGAAGGGGAGAGUGGAAUUCCAUGUGUAGCGGUGAAAUGCGUAGAUAUAUGGAGGAACACCGGUGGCGAAAGCGGCUCUCUGGUCUGAGACUGACGCUGAGGCUCGAAAGCGUGGGUAGCGAACAGGAUUAGAUACCCUGGUA
RNAcentral lists this ribosomal RNA (459 nucleotides) under uncultured Streptococcus sp. RNAcentral's name for it is "partial 16S ribosomal RNA". It matches the Rfam family "Bacterial small subunit ribosomal RNA", at positions 341 to 792 of the family's 1533-position model. The record is from RNAcentral. Lineage: Bacteria; Bacillati; Bacillota; Bacilli; Lactobacillales; Streptococcaceae.